RNAcentral lists this long non-coding RNA (1285 nucleotides) under Setaria viridis. RNAcentral describes it as "long non-coding RNA (SVIR_LNC011297)". Lineage: Eukaryota; Viridiplantae; Streptophyta; Magnoliopsida; Poales; Poaceae. The record is from RNAcentral.
UUGGCCCGUUAUUCAAACUACACUACUCAAUGCAACAAGAUUCAAACUCACGACGCAUAUUAUGAAACAACCAUGACUUAUCACUACACUACUCAAUGCUUUGUGAGUUAUCUAAACUGUGGACCUUUUUAAUACUUACUUUUCUUCUUCCCUUUUCAUUUUUCUUUAUUUUCUUUGUUUUCGUUUUCCGUUUCUUGUCUCUUUGUCUAUUCUUUUUUUCUUUCUUCUCUUUUAUUUAUCUAUUUAUUUUCAUCCCUUCUCCUUUUUCCAUAUUCUCUUUUCCUUUCUUAUUUGUUCUUUCCUGUAUUUUUAUGACCAUGUGUAUAUUUUUUAUUACAUAAUUUCUUCAUUAAUUUUGUGUGUUCCUCGAGUAGCUAUCUUAUCUCAACUUUAUAAUUUUUUUUCUUUUCCCUCCUUUUAUAUUAUUUUUUUCUUGCAGAUACUCAUAUCUUCCAUUAUUAUUGAACUAUUCAUCAAACUAUAUUUUUUUCUUCUUUCCUUAAAUAUUUUUGUGUGUUCAUGAUGAUUGAAGAAAUCUUUGACACAACAUAAUUUUUUCGUGGUGUACAAUACUUUGUACAAUUGUUUAGUUAACGAUAUAGUUCUGUUUAUUAUACACGUAGAAUUAUUUAUUGCAUAUUGAGCCAUACGUUCAAGAUGCAUACUUAUUUGUUUGCGUCAUUUGAUAUUUUUGUUCUGUAUAAAUACGUUGUUCUGUGAGUUUCUACAAUUUGUUUGACGUACGCACAGAUAUUUUGUUCCCUAAGUCCGUAUAAUUUCCUCAAUGUAUACUAUUGUUUUGUUCCGUCAGUUUGUAUAAUUUAUUCCGGAUGUAUUUAUUUUUAUUCUUUAGUUCAUAUUAUUUUGUUCAAUGUAUACUACUAUUUUGUUCCGUCAGAUUAUAUAAUUUUAUUUCAGGUGUAUUUAUUUAUUAUUAUUGAUUAUUCUAUUAUUUUUUUCUUCUUUUUGUUCUCUUUUUUAAUUUAUUAUUAGUGAAUACAAUAUACCUAUUUCGUAUUAUUUUAUCCUUUAACUUUCCUUUGGAUAGUAAAUUGUUUUGUUUAGGUGUAUUCUUUUAUUAUAUGAGUUCGUGCAAUUUGUUCGAUGUGCACAACUUUUUGUCAUGUAAGUUUAUAUAAAUUGUUCUAGAUUUAUAAAUUGUUGUUCUUUGAGUUGUACAAUUUGUUUAUACAUUUUGUUCUGUAAGGCAUGUAUAAUUGAUUUGUUCUAUAGGUUCAUAUGAUUUGUUCGACGCGUAUAGAAGACUGAUUUGGCUCUCUUUUUC